UACGGGGGGGGCAAGCGUUGUUCGGAAUUACUGGGCGUAAAGGGCUCGUAGGUGGCCAACUAAGUCAGACGUGAAAUCCCUCAGCUUAACUGGGGAACUGCGUCUGAUACUGGAUGGCUUGAGUUCGGGAGAGGGAUGCGGAAUUCCAGGUGUAGCGGUGAAAUGCGCAGAUAUCAGGAGGAACACCGGUGGCGAAGGCGGGUCUCUGGGCCGAUACUGACGCUGAGGAGCGAAAGCGUGGGGAGCGAACAGG
RNAcentral lists this ribosomal RNA (253 nucleotides) under uncultured bacterium. Its description in RNAcentral is "partial 16S ribosomal RNA". It matches the Rfam family "Bacterial small subunit ribosomal RNA", at positions 524 to 776 of the family's 1533-position model. The record is from RNAcentral.